UACGUAGGGGGCUAGCGUUGUCCGGAAUUACUGGGCGUAAAGGGUGCGUAGGCGGCGCCUUAAGUCAGAUGUGAAAUAUCCAGGCUUAACCUGGAGGGUGCAUCUGAUACUGGGGUGCUUGAGUGCAGGAGAGGAAAGUGGAAUUCCUAGUGUAGCGGUGAAAUGCGUAGAUAUUAGGAGGAACACCAGUGGCGAAGGCGACUCUCUGGACUGUAACUGACGCUGAGGCACGAAAGCGUGGGGAG
RNAcentral lists this ribosomal RNA (245 nucleotides) under uncultured Eubacteriales bacterium. Its description in RNAcentral is "uncultured Clostridiales bacterium partial 16S ribosomal RNA". It matches the Rfam family "Bacterial small subunit ribosomal RNA", at positions 524 to 768 of the family's 1533-position model. The record is from RNAcentral. Lineage: Bacteria; Bacillati; Bacillota; Clostridia; Eubacteriales.